RNAcentral lists this long non-coding RNA (481 nucleotides) under Chinchilla lanigera (long-tailed chinchilla). RNAcentral's name for it is "lncRNA (ENSCLAG00000025716.1)". The record is from RNAcentral. Lineage: Eukaryota; Metazoa; Chordata; Mammalia; Rodentia; Chinchillidae.
UACAGGGCCCUCCUGGAGUGGGCACCAAUGGCUGCCCUGCCUCUGAAGAGAAGAGCUCUCCCGGAGUAUCCUGGUCGCCUGGCAUCAGCAGCUCCCAUGGGUCUGGAAGCUGAUCCCUUGUGCCCAGGAGUUCCCACCAUAUCUAAUGCACAGAACCUUUUGUCUGGGGGUGCACAAAACAGAAGUUUUCUCCCCGUGUUAUGGAAGGAGGAGACAGAAGAGAAGCAUCUUAGUCAUGAAUGUCUGAAACAAUUCGCCUUUGCAGCCUGCCCCCUUCCCCCAGGCCAACGCCACGCUGCAACAAGACUUUCUUUCAUCACCAGAUGGUUCUAUGCUUCAGCUGAAGUCUGUGAGUAUAAAACUGCACAGUAAAUUUUAAUUGUAAUUCAGUAGGUUAGAGUUUAGGUGCUGGUGAUGGAUUGCAAUUCGGAGUAUUUGAGUGAUCGCUUCUUGUUUUGAAAGGAUUGGUGUGUGACCAGGC